GAUGAACGCUAGCGGCAGGCUUAACACAUGCAAGUCGAGGGGUAUUAGGAGCUUGCUCCUAAGAGACCGGCGCACGGGUGCGUAACGCGUAUGCGACCUACCUUGAACAGGGGGAUAGCCCAGAGAAAUUUGGAUUAAUACCCCAUGGUAUAUUAGAAUGGCAUCAUUUUAUUAUUAAAGUCGCAACGGUUCAAGAUGGGCAUGCGUCCCAUUAGCUAGAUGGUAAGGUAACGGCUUACCAUGGCUACGAUGGGUAGGGGUCCUGAGAGGGAGAUCCCCCACACUGGUACUGAGACACGGACCAGACUCCUACGGGAGGCAGCAGUGAGGAAUAUUGGUCAAUGGGCGCAAGCCUGAACCAGCCAUGCCGCGUGCAGGAUGAAGCAUCUAUGGUGUGUAAACUGCUUUUAUACGGGAAGAAACCCUGCCACGUGUGGCAGAUUGACGGUACCGUAGGAAUAAGGAUCGGCUAACUCCGUGCCAGCAGCCGCGGUAA
Molecule: ribosomal RNA, 496 nt
Filed under: uncultured bacterium
Lineage: Bacteria
Description: partial 16S ribosomal RNA
Rfam family: Bacterial small subunit ribosomal RNA
Source: RNAcentral